AGUGAACGCUGGCGGUAGGCCUAACACAUGCAAGUCGAACGGCAGCGCAGUAAGAGCUUGCCCUUACGGGUGGCGAGUGGCGGACGGGUGAGGAAUACAUCGGAAUCUACUUUUUCGUGGGGGAUAACGUAGGGAAACUUACGCUAAUACCGCAUACGACCUACGGGUGAAAGCAGGGGAUCUUCGGACCUUGCGCGAUUGAAUGAGCCGAUGUCGGAUUAGCUAGUUGGCGGGGUAAAGGCCCACCAAGGCGACGAUCCGUAGCUGGUCUGAGAGGAUGAUCAGCCACACUGGAACUGAGACACGGUCCAGACUCCUACGGGAGGCAGCAGUGGGGAAUAUUGGACAAUGGGCGCAAGCCUGAUCCAGCCAUACCGCGUGGGUGAAGAAGGCCUUCGGGUUGUAAAGCCCUUUUGUUGGGAAAGAAAAGCAGCAGGUUAAUACCCCGCUGUUCUGACGGUACCCAAAGAAUAAGCACCGGCUAACUUCGUG
Molecule: ribosomal RNA, 492 nt
Filed under: uncultured bacterium
Lineage: Bacteria
Description: partial 16S ribosomal RNA
Rfam family: Bacterial small subunit ribosomal RNA
Source: RNAcentral